AUUGAACGCUGGCGGCAGGCCUAACACAUGCAAGUCGAACGGUAACAGAAAGCAGCUUGCUGCUUUGCUGACGAGUGGCGGACGGGUGAGUAAUGUCUGGGAAACUGCCUGAUGGAGGGGGAUAACUACUGGAAACGGUAGCUAAUACCGCAUAACGUCGCAAGACCAAAGAGGGGGACCUUCGGGCCUCUUGCCAUCGGAUCUGCCCAGAUGGGAUUAGCUAGUAGGUGGGGUAACGGCUCACCUAGGCGACGAUCCCUAGCUGGUCUGAGAGGAUGACCAGCCACACUGGAACUGAGACACGGUCCAGACUCCUACGGGAGGCAGCAGUGGGGAAUAUUGCACAAUGGGCGCAAGCCUGAUGCAGCCAUGCCGCGUGUAUGAAGAAGGCCUUCGGGUUGUAAAGUACUUUCAGCGGGGAGGAAGGGAGUAAAGUUAAUACCUUUGCUCAUUGACGUUACCCGCAGAAGAAGCACCGGCUAACUCCGUG
This 490-nucleotide ribosomal RNA is filed under the name uncultured bacterium. RNAcentral describes it as "partial 16S ribosomal RNA". It matches the Rfam family "Bacterial small subunit ribosomal RNA", at positions 30 to 507 of the family's 1533-position model. The record is from RNAcentral.